Molecule: ribosomal RNA, 193 nt
Filed under: Staphylococcus hominis subsp. novobiosepticus
Lineage: Bacteria; Bacillati; Bacillota; Bacilli; Caryophanales; Staphylococcaceae
Description: partial 16S ribosomal RNA
Rfam family: Bacterial small subunit ribosomal RNA
Source: RNAcentral
UUUAUGGAGAGUUUGAUCCUGGCUCAGGAUGAACGCUGGCGGCGUGCCUAAUACAUGCAAGUCGAGCGGACAGACGAGGAGCUUGCUCCUUUGAUGUUAGCGGCGGACGGGUGAGUAACACGUAGGUAACCUACCUAUAAGACUGGGAUAACUUCGGGAAACCGGAGCUAAUACCGGAUAAUAUUUCGAACCG